AGUGAAUGCUGGCGGUAGGCCUAACACAUGCAAGUCGAACGGCAGCACAGUAAGAGCUUGCUCUUACGGGUGGCGAGUGGCGGACGGGUGAGGAAUACAUCGGAAUCUACUUUUUCGUGGGGGAUAACGUAGGGAAACUUACGCUAAUACCGCAUACGACCUACGGGUGAAAGCAGGGGAUCUUCGGACCUUGCGCGAUUGAAUGAGCCGAUGUCGGAUUAGCUAGUUGGCGGGGUAAAGGCCCACCAAGGCGACGAUCCGUAGCUGGUCUGAGAGGAUGAUCAGCCACACUGGAACUGAGACACGGUCCAGGCUCCUACGGGAGGCAGCAGUGGGGAAUAUUGGACAAUGGGCGCAAGCCUGAUCCAGCCAUACCGCGUGGGUGAAGAAGGCCUUCGGGUUGUAAAGCCCUUUUGUUGGGAAAGAAAAGCAGCAGGUUAAUACCCCGCUGUUCUGACGGUACCCAAAGAAUAAGCACCGGCUAACUUCGUG
This 492-nucleotide ribosomal RNA is filed under the name uncultured bacterium. Its description in RNAcentral is "partial 16S ribosomal RNA". It matches the Rfam family "Bacterial small subunit ribosomal RNA", at positions 29 to 507 of the family's 1533-position model. The record is from RNAcentral.